AAAACAACGCUGGUGACAACUGUGUGAGCGUGAACCAGAACGGCUCUGUAGAGCUCAAGGUGCAGAUGCUCAGUUCUCCGGGAAGGCAUGAGAGAAAAAGCAAAGUUUCCUUCAAGAAUUCAAGAUGACACACGAUCCCCUAUCAGCCUCAAUCAAUGGUUCUCAUCAGGAUUUCACUAAAAAGGAAUAAGUGUGAUUUAUUUAUUUUUUUCUGCAUGAACAUAAACAAGCCACUCACAAACUCACAGUGAUGGUGUCCAGCAGAGAUGUUGUAUAGAGCUCCGGGUUCAGGAGAGCAGCUGCUGAGGGAAACAAAUUCUAUCAACACUUCCUUGGCAACCUUGAAACCCAAGGUUUACCCAAUAUGACCGUGAAUAUUUUAAGACUCUCUGCUGCUGGAAAAAUUACACAUGAGAUAUAAAGAUGUCUCUUUCAGAAUGUUAUUUCGUGCAUGCUGGGAAGUAUCAACAGGGUGCCAGCCAGAGAAAAUAUCAAAACGACAGAAGUGGAGGCAGACUCUAAUUACAAAUUGGAUGUGUACAAAACCUUGAUGGUGUCGCUGUGAGAAGCAGGAAAACACAAACUCGUCGCAAAUAUUUCAACCUGCAGAAGCACAUACAAAUCACCAUGAGAGGGUAAACACAAGUUCACGACUUUGCUUUUACAAUGCACUGUAAGGCGGCUUUGUGAGAGUAAACCACGCAACAACAAUCAAGCCGUCAAUCAUAAGGCGCUGUGUGUUUGAGUGCGGCCCAUUGGUGGUCUUUGCCCCCUCGUAGCGGGGGGGGGGGGGGGGUUGCUGCAGUGUAACAGGCCCCUGCAUGGACACCAAAGACGAUGGUGUCAAACAGGCGCCAGCUGGUCGUGACUACUGUAAUCUCUGCCAUUGAUUAAAUGGGUUCCCAAGUCUUAGGGGGGCACCGGAGUCCUGAUGGGGCAGGACCACAGUGGAGGGCAAAUGGAUGAACACACCCUGGGCUGCUUUCUGAUGUCGUCUGAUGGGGCUGUUGGUGUGAAAGACAUCGGCGUUGGCAGCCCCAGAGAGAUAUUACCUGCUGUGUGGGUCUAUAGGACAAGGGGGAAUUUCUAAAGACGGCGGCUGGAUGGGUAGUGUGAAUAGAGGUUUAGAGAAAUACUGACAAAGCGUAAGAGUGAGCAGGCAGCGACUGCUGGGUGCCGCCUUUCUACAGAGCCAUUCAGAAAUAUUUCGAAUACCUCUGAAUACCUUGACUUACGUAUAUUGACAGAUGAGCAAAGAAAACACAGGGGGGAAAAAAGCAGGUCUCUAAUUCAGUUUUGUCAGUGCAAACAUGAAAUAUCAAAGUCCAAAAAUGACCUCUUUAGUGCCCUGAAUUCAAUGCAAAAGACUUAUGCAAAUUGUGACUGAGAGGAUGUUUUUCAGGCAAAAGGAACAUUUCUAAAUUGGUGAAAUAGUAUCGUUAAUACACAUAUAUUUAAAUGCAUUUAAUGGCUCAUUGAUAUUUACAGUGGUAGUGAAAUGUAGGUUUCCUGAUCAGACUAGGAUCCAUUGUAUUUAACUUGCAUAUAAAGUACAUUGUGUUUGCUUUGCUCAACAAACUACUGGACAGCAGUAAAUGUACCUCUGAUAAAUGCUACGUUGACAGACUACUGGUCUGUAAAUGCAAACACAUUUAGAAAGAAACGUUAAUACCGCCUGGAUUACAUUUGUAAUCACCACAGAAUGGAAAUGCUAUUAAUUAUUGUACAUUACUGCAACCAUCAGCAAAAUGUUCACUGGCAGCGUAUUAUGUUUUUCAACAAAAUUUGAUUUUGCAAUACGAAAUCCACUCUCAGCAGCUACAGCAUGAUUACGCUACACCACAAUCUUUCCCUCAUCUUAAACCCAAACAAGCUUCUGUUGCCAAAAUCGUACCACACCCCAGGUUUCAGGAUGCAAACUCCAGUCACUUGUGUCAAAGUCCUGCAUUUAGUACACCCAUCAUGCACCCCGACCUCCUCCAUGUACAAGAACAUGACACUUUGUUCCCUAUAGAAAGCCUGCUGAACGUAACUGCCGAAACAAAUUAGUUUUAUACACUUAAUUUCUGAGAGAUCUUCUUUGUCUGUUAUCUGUAUAGAAUUGAAAGAUUAACAUCUAAAUCUGAAUGAAAAAGAAAAUUGUGAUUUAGACAGCAAGUUGCACUACGUCUCAGAGAUAAUAUCACAAGAUUAUUAUCAAUGAUGAUUGAAACUAACAGAAUACAGCACUCCAGCACUGAAUAGUGUUAAUAGGCUCUCUUGAAGGGCGACUGAUCUGUCCCCAAAAAUCUUGAAAAUAAUUAUACGUAAUGGGCAUUUUGUGAUACAUAACUUCUAUCAUAUCCUCUUUCUAAAAACACCAGCAGAAGGUUUCCACUCCAAGACAAGACAGUCUUCAACAGCCCACAGCCCCUUGCAUACCCUUGAGCUAUUACGGCCUGUAAUUGAUGCACAUUAUGAAGUCAUAUUUUCACAGCAGAGAGGGGAAAGCUAAUUAUGAGCUGAAAUCAAAUAUAGACGUCGAGUGAAAAGGCAAUAUGUCACCGUGAAAAAUAGAGUAAUAAUAACCCCGCCGUAGGAUUUGACUGUUUUUUAGCUUGAGAAUGAGUGUGGCUAAAAAUGUCAUUUAACAAAACGUCUGAAAUUCAGCGUCUGAAAA
Anarrhichthys ocellatus (wolf-eel) is the source of this 2659-nucleotide long non-coding RNA. RefSeq lists it as uncharacterized. Lineage: Eukaryota; Metazoa; Chordata; Actinopteri; Perciformes; Anarhichadidae. The transcript is spliced from 3 exons. The record is from RefSeq and is a predicted model, not a curated record.